GACGAACGCUGGCGGCGUGCUUAACACAUGCAAGUCGAACGGUGAAGCGCCUUCUUUUUUGGUGGGUGUGGAUGCGUGGCGAACGGGUGAGUAACACGUGAGUAACCUGCCCCCUUCUUCUGGAUAACCGCAUGAAAGUGUGGCUAAUACGGGAUAUUCUGGGUCUGUCGCAUGAUGGGUCUGGGAAAGAUAUUGUUUCGGUGGGGGAUGGGCUCGCGGUCUAUCAGCGUGUUGGUGGGGUGAUGGCCUACCAAGGCGGUGACGGUUAGCCGGCUGGCGAGGGUGGACGGUCAGACUGGGACUGAGACACGGCCCAGACUCCUACGAGAGGCAGCAGUGUGGAAUAGUGCGCAAUGGGCGCAAGCCUGAUACAGCGACGCCGCGUAAGGAAUAGAGGCCUUCGGGUUGUGAACCUCUUUCGCCAGUGAAGCAGGCCUGCCUCGUAUGUAGGUGGAUUGACGGUAGCUGGAUAAGAAGCACCGGCUAACUACGUG
This 494-nucleotide ribosomal RNA is filed under the name uncultured bacterium. RNAcentral describes it as "partial 16S ribosomal RNA". It matches the Rfam family "Bacterial small subunit ribosomal RNA", at positions 28 to 507 of the family's 1533-position model. The record is from RNAcentral.